AAUCAACGCUGGCGGCGUGCCUAACACAUGCAAGUCGAGCGCGAAAGGGGAGCAAUCCCCAAGUAGAGCGGCGAACGGGUGAGUAACGCGUGGGUAAUCUGCCUCCGAGUGGGGAACAACACCGGGAAACUGGUGCUAAUACCGCAUGACAUCGUUGGACCUUCGGAUCUGACGAUCAAAGACCGGGGACCGCAAGGCCUGGCGCUUGGAGAGGAGCCCGCGUCCGAUUAGCAGUUGGUGGGGUAAGUGGCCCACCAAGGCUACGAUCGGUAGCCGGCCUGAGAGGGCGGACGGCCACACUGGGACUGAGACACGGCCCAGACUCCUACGGGAGGC
RNAcentral lists this ribosomal RNA (336 nucleotides) under uncultured bacterium. Its description in RNAcentral is "bacterial SSU rRNA". It matches the Rfam family "Bacterial small subunit ribosomal RNA", at positions 29 to 349 of the family's 1533-position model. The record is from RNAcentral.